UGAGUGGCGGACGGGUGAGUAACGCGUGGGCAACCUGCCCUGUACAGGGGGACAACACUUAGAAAUAGAUGCUAAUACCGCAUAACGGGGGGAGCCGCAUGGCACCCCCCUGAAAACUCCGGUGGUACAGGAUGGGCCCGCGUCUGAUUAGCUGGUUGGCAGGGUAACGGCCUACCAAGGCGACGAUCAGUAGCCGGCCUGAGAGGGCGGACGGCCACACUGGGACUGAGACACGGCCCAGACUCCUACGGAAGGCAGCAG
This 261-nucleotide ribosomal RNA is filed under the name uncultured bacterium. RNAcentral's name for it is "partial 16S ribosomal RNA". It matches the Rfam family "Bacterial small subunit ribosomal RNA", at positions 92 to 354 of the family's 1533-position model. The record is from RNAcentral.